CGCCUUUUGAACUAUUUAUAUAAAAGGUCCUGCCUGCCCAGUGACAUCUGUUUCAACGGCCGCGGUAUCAUGACCGUGCAAAGGUAGCGUAAUCACUUGUCUUUUAAAUAAAGACCAGUAUGAAUGGCAAGACGAAAGCCUAACUGUCUCCCUAAGUUAAUCAAUAAAAUUGAUCUUCCCGUGCAGAAGCGGGAAUAAUAAUAUAAGACGAGAAGACCCUGUGGAGCUUUAACUUAAACUAACAAACCAUAAAUGUACUAGCACCAAGUUUUAGGUUGGGGCGACCAUGAGGUAAAAUACAACCCUCAAGAUGUAAAACUAAGAAGGACACUUCAAAUAAAUAUCAAUAGCACAAUUGACCCAAUAAUUGAUCAACGAACCAAGUUACCCCAGGGAUAACAGCGCAAUCUACUCAAAGAGCCCUUAUCGACGAGCAGGUUUACGACCUCGAUGUUGGAUCAGGACCCCCAAAUAAUGCAACAGUUAUUAAAGGUUCGUUUGUUCAACGAUUAAAGUCCU
RNAcentral lists this ribosomal RNA (519 nucleotides) under Pseudoeurycea orchileucos (Sierra de Juarez worm salamander). Its description in RNAcentral is "partial 16S ribosomal RNA". It matches the Rfam family "Bacterial large subunit ribosomal RNA", at positions 1819 to 2597 of the family's 2925-position model. The record is from RNAcentral. Lineage: Eukaryota; Metazoa; Chordata; Amphibia; Caudata; Plethodontidae.